Meriones unguiculatus (Mongolian gerbil) is the source of this 1129-nucleotide long non-coding RNA. RefSeq lists it as uncharacterized. The record is from RefSeq and is a predicted model, not a curated record. Lineage: Eukaryota; Metazoa; Chordata; Mammalia; Rodentia; Muridae. The transcript is spliced from 3 exons.
GCGCCUCCAAGCUUGGGUGCAGCCUCUCUGGGAGGCUUCAGCUCUUGGUCCCGGGCCACAGGCCUGGGCCUCCACGCCGCAGCCCUUAGGCCGAGGGGCGUGGCCUUCGGGGGACGCGCUGCGGAGCCGCGCUUGUCCAGCAGGGGAGGCCAGAAAACAGCUCAGCGGAGUCAAGGUGCUGAUUCGGACACCCCGCUGGCCCUGGUGCCAGGCCGUCGAGAAGCCUGCCAGGGCCAUUGUCCCCUCUGUCAGACAAUGAACUGAACCCAGGACAAAGCCUUUUACCACAGAGACAGAAAAAACACGACGCCAACCCUCCAGGGCUACUUGAACCUGAAGACUCGGAGCCUCUGGCACCAGCCAAAAAAACAAAACAAAACAAAACACUACUCCAUUUACAUUAGUGAUGACCUUCAGUUAAUCUGUAACCAGUGAAAGAUGCGGACUUUGAAAUCCGAACGGGAUCAAGUCCAGCUUUUCUGCAUUGGGCAAAUGAAGCUGUCAAAGCCUCUCUAACUGCCAGGCUGUCCGUCACCAGGUUGCGCAGGGCAUACAGAUAGUGCAGAGUCAUGAAACCACACUAGGUCCUGAGAUACCGGGGGCGUGGCACCGGAGGUCAAGGGAUUCCCUGCUGACCCACUUCUGUAGUCCUGAGGAUGGAGCCCAGGGCUGUAGACUGUCAGGAAGACACUCUGCCGCUGAGCUACGGCCCCAGGCCCAUUUUGGAUUUGAGACAGCAUCACUAAAUUGUCCAGGCUAAGCGUCAAACCUACAGUCCUCAGCCUCCCUCGCAGCUGGGCUUCCAUGCUGUACUGUCACACCCAGCUCUCCUAACUCACCUCGGGAAACAUCCAACAAAACCAUCCUGCACAAAAGGACAGCGCUCUCCGGCCUUCCGAGGCAGACUGACUGGCGCCCGGGUCCAGUUCUUCAGGGAGGCGGUGCUUGCUGAACGGCACUGAUUUGUUCCUGGAUUCCUGAUUCUGUCUGUGUUUUGUAGGAGGUGGGACCCCACUGUGUUGCUCGGGCUUGCCUCAGCCUCCGGUGCCGGGGAGACCCUCCUGACCCCUGUCCCUCGGGCAGCUGGGAUUGGAGGCCCGCAUUGGUGGAGGCAGCCAGGUUCUUGACU